RNAcentral lists this ribosomal RNA (874 nucleotides) under uncultured bacterium. RNAcentral's name for it is "bacterial SSU rRNA". It matches the Rfam family "Bacterial small subunit ribosomal RNA", at positions 28 to 896 of the family's 1533-position model. The record is from RNAcentral.
GAUGAACGCUAGCGGCAGGCCUAACACAUGCAAGUCGAGGGGUAACUAGAGUGAUAGCAAUAUUACUUUGGCUAGACCGGCGCACGGGUGCGUAACACGUAUGCAACCUACCUUAUACUGGGGAAUAACUUCGAGAAAUCGGCACUAAUACCCCAUAACAUUGCGAAGAGGCAUCUCUUUGCACUUAAAGCUCCGGCGGUAUAAGAUGGGCAUGCGUCCAAUUAGCUAGUUGGUGAGGUAACGGCUCACCAAGGCUACGAUUGGUAGGGGUUCUGAGAGGAUGAUCCCCCACACUGGUACUGAGACACGGACCAGACUCCUACGGGAGGCAGCAGUGAGGAAUAUUGCGCAAUGGACGAAAGUCUGACGCAGCCAUGCCGCGUGCAGGAUGACGGCCCUAUGGGUUGUAAACUGCUUUUGUAUGGGAAUAAACCCUUCUACGUGUAGAAGGCUGAAGGUACCAUAAGAAUAAGCACCGGCUAACUCCGUGCCAGCAGCCGCGGUAAUACGGAGGGUGCAAGCGUUAUCCGGAUUUAUUGGGUUUAAAGGGUCCGUAGGCGGGCCGAUAAGUCAGUGGUGAAAGCCCAUAGCUCAACUAUGGAACUGCCAUUGAUACUGUCGGUCUUGAGUAUAUGUGAUGUUGGCGGAAUGUGUAGUGUAGCGGUGAAAUGCUUAGAUAUUACACAGAACACCGAUUGCGAAGGCAGCUGACAAAUAUAUAACUGACGCUGAGGGACGAAAGUGUGGGGAUCAAACAGGAUUAGAUACCCUGGUAGUCCACACCGUAAACGAUGAUUACUAGAUUUUGGCCUUAUGGUCAGAGUCCAAGCGAAAGUGUUAAGUAAUCCACCUGGGGAGUACGUCCGCAAGGAUG